GACGAACGCUGGCGGCGUGCCUAAUACAUGCAAGUAGAACGCUGAAGGAGGAGCUUGCUUCUCCGGAUGAGUUGCGAACGGGUGAGUAACGCGUAGGUAACCUGCCUGGUAGCGGGGGAUAACUAUUGGAAACGAUAGCUAAUACCGCAUAAGAGUAGAUGUUGCAUGACAUUUGCUUAAAAGGUGCAAUUGCAUCACUACCAGAUGGACCUGCGUUGUAUUAGCUAGUUGGUGAGGUAACGGCUCACCAAGGCGAAGAUACAUAGCCGAACUGAGAAGGUGAUUGGCCCACCUGGGACUGAGAACCGGCCCCGACUCCUCCGGGAGGCAGCAGUAGGGGAUCUUCGGCAAUGGACGGAAGUCUGACCGAGCAACGCCGCGUGAGUGAAGAAGGUUUUCGGAUCGUAAAGCUCUGUUGUAAGAGAAGAACGAGUGUGAGAGUGGAAAGUUCACACUGUGACGGUAUCUUACCAGAAAGGGACGGCUAACUACGUG
RNAcentral lists this ribosomal RNA (495 nucleotides) under uncultured bacterium. Its description in RNAcentral is "partial 16S ribosomal RNA". It matches the Rfam family "Bacterial small subunit ribosomal RNA", at positions 28 to 507 of the family's 1533-position model. The record is from RNAcentral.